RNAcentral lists this ribosomal RNA (432 nucleotides) under uncultured bacterium. Its description in RNAcentral is "partial 16S ribosomal RNA". It matches the Rfam family "Bacterial small subunit ribosomal RNA", at positions 29 to 507 of the family's 1533-position model. The record is from RNAcentral.
ACGAACGCUGGCGGCAUGCCUAACACCUGCAAGUCGAACGAGACCUUCGGGUCUAGUGGCGCACGGGUGCGUAACGCGUGGGAACCUGCCCUUAGGUUCGGAAUAAUUCCCCGAAAGGGGUGCUAAUACCGGAUAAUGUCUUCGGACCAAAGAUUUAUCGCCUUUGGAUGGGCCCGCGUUGGAUUAGCUAGUUGGUAGGGUAAAAGCCUACCAAGGCGACGAUCCAUAGCUGGUCUGAGAGGAUGAUCAGCCACACUGGGACUGAGACACGGCCCAGACUCCUACGGGAGGCAGCAGUGGGGAAUAUUGGACAAUGGGCGAAAGCCUGAUCCAGCAAUGCCGCGUGAGUGAUGAAGGCCUUAGGGUUGUAAAGCUCUUUUACCCGGGAUGAUAAUGACAGUACCGGGAGAAUAAGCUCCGGCUAACUCCGUG